This is a long non-coding RNA of Erpetoichthys calabaricus (reedfish), 575 nucleotides long. RefSeq lists it as uncharacterized. The record is from RefSeq and is a predicted model, not a curated record. NCBI's taxonomy places the organism in Eukaryota, Metazoa, Chordata, Cladistia, Polypteriformes, Polypteridae. The transcript has 3 exons.
AAAUGGCCUGUGGGCACCAAAAAAGCUCCCACCUUAUCGCACAGUCACGUGGAGCAACAUCAUAACGUUCGAUCCAAAGGAGAAACAGAGCAUUGGUGGAGCUUGGAGGCUCGUUUUCUUGUACAAGUGACCAUAGAAAUAACGCUUUGUGUAUAUCAGCUUGUUUCCUUGCUCGUAAUCCUCCCAAAAAGCCUGUUUGACUAGAGUGUGCCUUUGUAAACGUGCUACCUGUCUCACGUCUGCGAGCGGAGGCUGAUCCUCCAUCACAUAUACGGCAGAGAAACGAGUGAGCCAAAUCAGCCUUAUAAAGUGAAUGAUAUGAAAACUGGCAUUUAUAGGUCCUGCCUUGCUCACGAAGCUGUCUGAAUUGUCUCCAAUCCUGGUAACCUUGGAUAAACUCUAAAGAUGACGGAAGAAUGGAUGACUGCUUAUAUUACUUUGUGUAUAGAAAUGAGGCCCUGAAACCCCAAAUGUUUAAAUUGUAUGAACUGGAGGAAAUCUGGGGCAGGGUUUUAGGAAGAAACCCUGUGGAUGGAGUUUUAUCAGCAGCAGACUUAUUCACUAUGAACCUUUAG